GCCGCUGUGAUGGAAUUGGCAGACGUGCGAGACUCAAAAUCUCGUGGUAGUAAUACCGUGUCGGUUCGACCCCGACCAGCGGCACCA
RNAcentral lists this transfer RNA (87 nucleotides) under Clostridia bacterium. RNAcentral describes it as "tRNA-Leu". It matches the Rfam family "tRNA". Rfam says of the family: Transfer RNA (tRNA) molecules are approximately 80 nucleotides in length. Their secondary structure includes four short double-helical elements and three loops (D, anti-codon, and T loops). The record is from RNAcentral. Lineage: Bacteria; Bacillati; Bacillota; Clostridia.